This 731-nucleotide long non-coding RNA is filed under the name Phoenix dactylifera (date palm). Its description in RNAcentral is "long non-coding RNA (PDAC_LNC000908)". The record is from RNAcentral. Lineage: Eukaryota; Viridiplantae; Streptophyta; Magnoliopsida; Arecales; Arecaceae.
AACAGAAAACCACAAAAUACCAGGCAUGCUCAUAGCUUGUUUAUUGGCCAUGUAGAAAUUCUGAUCUUUUAGUAGGAAACCCUCGGCGAUUUUACGGGUAUAGAAAAAUGUCGCCAGAGAAGCCUCAACUUACCGUUGAUCUUCUACCGCCAUUUUCUGUGUCAGGACUGAUAUCGACAACUUCCCAUUUCUACUUUUUUAUUUUUCAGGACCAUGCCAUGGAUUAGCAGAGAAGCCUCAACUUACCAGUCAUUCAUGGCACGAUGAUAUGAGAUGGUCUAUAUGGUGCUAUAAAUGUCUUGGAUUGAUGUAUAUCUAGCGCCGAACAGCAUUCCCAUAUAGUGUUGCUAAACCCAAGGUAGGAUGGAAUAGGAGCACACACGAUGCCUUUCUUUGCAAGUGCCAAGUGCGUCCACCUUCUUGUUGGAUUGUUCGCAACUGUCUUCUAUGUGCAUACGCAUGGUGGUGCUAAUACCGAGUUACUUCAAUCCAAGGCAGUUGGAUGAUGCAUGUAAAAGUUGGAGAACGGACAUAUGAAGUUUCUCAUUUUCUCAAAAAAGAAAGGUAAAAGCAAAAUGUUUGUUCCCUUUUUUUUCUCUCCCUCCCUGGAUUAUCUCUUCAAAUGGUUUUCUUGGUGGCUGUCAAGGAACCAUAAAGUCAUAUAAAUAGUGCAAUUCAGAUUUAGCAUUUGGUUGUGGUUCUGUACUAUUGGAGGAUAUACUUAUUUGCUG